Molecule: ribosomal RNA, 237 nt
Filed under: uncultured bacterium
Lineage: Bacteria
Description: partial 16S ribosomal RNA
Rfam family: Bacterial small subunit ribosomal RNA
Source: RNAcentral
CCGGCACGGGUGAGUAACACGUAUCCAACCUGCCGUCUACUCUUGGACAGCCUUCUGAAAGGAAGAUUAAUACAAGAUGGCAUCAUGAGUCCGCAUGUUCACAUGAUUAAAGGUAUUCCGGUAGACGAUGGGGAUGCGUUCCAUUAGAUAGUAGGCGGGGUAACGGCCCACCUAGUCUUCGAUGGAUAGGGGUUCUGAGAGGAAGGUCCCCCACAUUGGUACUGGGACACGGACCAA